GACGAACGCUGGCGGCGUGCCUAACACAUGCAAGUCAACUUGACGGAAGGAGCAAUCUGACCGUAGAGUGGCGCAAGGGUGCGUAACGCGUAAGUAACUUGCCCCAAGGUAAGGAAUAACGUCGAGAAAUCGGCGCUAAUACCUCAUAAUGCAGCGGAUCCGCAUGGAUAUGUUGUUAAAGGUUUACCGCCUUGGGAUAGGCUUGCGUCUGAUUAGCUAGUUGGUGUGGUAACGGCACACCAAGGCUACGAUCAGUAACUGGUCUGAGAGGAUGAUCAGUCACACUGGAACUGAGACACGGUCCAGACUCCUACGGGAGGCAGCAGUGAGGAAUGUUGGGCAAUGCUCGAAAGAGUGACCCAGCAACGCCGCGUGGAGGAUGAAGGUAUUCUAUAUCGUAAACUCCUGUGAGAGCAGACGAAAGACAGAUUAAUUAACUCGUGGAUGACUGUAUGCU
Molecule: ribosomal RNA, 457 nt
Filed under: uncultured bacterium
Lineage: Bacteria
Description: bacterial SSU rRNA
Rfam family: Bacterial small subunit ribosomal RNA
Source: RNAcentral